GACGAACGCUAGCGGCAGGCUUAACACAUGCAAGUCGAACGGUAAGGCCCCUUCGGGGGUACACGAGUGGCGCACGGGUGCGUAACACGUAUGCAACCUACCCUUCAUAGGGGGAUAGUCGCGGGAAACUGCGAAUAAUACCCCAUACGAUCAUUGAUUGGCAUCGAUUGAUGAUGAAAGUUCCGGCGAUGAAGGAUGGGCAUGCGUCCCAUUAGCUAGUUGGUGAGGUAACGGCUCACCAAGGCGACGAUGGGUAGCUGGUCUGAGAGGAUGAUCAGCCACACGGGCACUGAGACACGGGCCCGACUCCUACGGGAGGCAGCAGUGAGGAAUCUUGGUCAAUGGGGGCAACCCUGAACCAGCCAUGCCGCGUGGAGGAAGACGGCCCUCUGGGUUGUAAACUCCUUUAGCUAGGGGCUAAGGCGGUGCUAUAUGCACUGUUGCAGGUACCUAGAGAAUAAGCGCCGGCUAACUACG
RNAcentral lists this ribosomal RNA (477 nucleotides) under uncultured Bacteroidota bacterium. RNAcentral describes it as "bacterial SSU rRNA". It matches the Rfam family "Bacterial small subunit ribosomal RNA", at positions 28 to 505 of the family's 1533-position model. Lineage: Bacteria; Pseudomonadati; Bacteroidota. The record is from RNAcentral.